AAAAAGGUAAACCUUGGAUUUUCGUGUUCAACUUUGACUGUCCGUCUUAUAUAAUUUUUUUUAUAAUUCAUAUUUUUAUUGUUGUUAGGUGAUAAAACAUGAUUAAUAUUUUAUGCGUGACUUGUCUUUUUAAUUUUUUUUAUAAUCUUUUCAAAUAAGACAGAUGGUCAAAUGUUGGACACGAAAAUCAUGGUUUGUCUUUUU
Molecule: non-coding RNA, 204 nt
Organism: Oryza glaberrima (African rice)
Lineage: Eukaryota; Viridiplantae; Streptophyta; Magnoliopsida; Poales; Poaceae
Source: Rfam